CCUACGGGUGGCAGCAGUGAGGAAUAUUGGUCAAUGGACGAAAGUCUGAACCAGCCAUGCAGCGUGAAGGAUGACUGCCCUAUGGGUUGUAAACUUCUUUUAUAUGGGGAUAAAGUCCAGUAUGUAUACCGUUUUGUAUGUAUCAUACGAAUAAGGAUCGGCUAACUCCGUGCCAGCAGCCGCGGUAAUACGGAGGAUUCGAGCGUUAUCCGGAUUUAUUGGGUUUAAAGGGUGCGUAGGCGGUCGGUUAAGUUAGUGGUGAAAUUCUGAGGCUCAACCGUGGAAUUGCAGUUGAUACUGGGUGGCUUGAGUGCAGCAGAGGUAGGCGGAAUGCGUGGUGUAGCGGUGAAAUGCUUAGAGAUCACGAAGAACACCGAUGGCGAAGGCAGCUUACUGGACUAUAACUGACGCUGAGGCGCGAAAGUGUGGGUAGCAAACAGGAUUAGAUACCCUUGUAGUC
This 460-nucleotide ribosomal RNA is filed under the name uncultured bacterium. RNAcentral describes it as "partial 16S ribosomal RNA". It matches the Rfam family "Bacterial small subunit ribosomal RNA", at positions 338 to 795 of the family's 1533-position model. The record is from RNAcentral.